CCUACGGGAGGCAGCAGUGGGGGAUAUUGCACAAUGGGGGGAACCCUGAUGCAGCGACGCCGCGUGGGUGAAGGAGUGCUUCGGCAUGUAAAGCCCUAUCGGCAGGGAAGAAGCAAGACGGUACCUGACUAAGAAGCCCCGGCUAACUACGUGCCAGCAGCCGCGGUAAUACGUAGGGGGCGAGCGUUAUCCGGAUUCACUGGGUGUAAAGGGAGCGUAGACGGCCAUGCAGGCCAGGGGUGAAAGCCCGGGGCCCAACCCCGGGACUGCCCUUGGAACUGUGCGGCUAGAGUGCGGGAGGGGCAGGCGGAAUUCCUGGUGUAGCGGUGAAAUGCGUAGAUAUCAGGAGGAACACCGGCGGCGAAGGCGGCCUGCUGGACUGCGACUGACGUUGAGGCUCGAAAGCGUGGGGAGCGAACAGGAUUAGAUACCCCUGUAGUC
RNAcentral lists this ribosomal RNA (441 nucleotides) under uncultured bacterium. RNAcentral describes it as "partial 16S ribosomal RNA". It matches the Rfam family "Bacterial small subunit ribosomal RNA", at positions 338 to 795 of the family's 1533-position model. The record is from RNAcentral.